Molecule: microRNA precursor, 125 nt
Filed under: Hordeum vulgare
Lineage: Eukaryota; Viridiplantae; Streptophyta; Magnoliopsida; Poales; Poaceae
Description: microRNA MIR1122
Rfam family: MIR1120/MIR1122 microRNA precursor family
Source: RNAcentral
CUUGUAGUCCCUCCGUCCGAAAAUACUUUUCAUAGGAAUGAAUGUAUCUAGAUAUAUUUUAGUUCUAGAUACAUCCAUUUUCAUUUAUUUGUACGACAAGUAUUUCCGGAUAGAGGGAGUAUAUU